Molecule: ribosomal RNA, 492 nt
Filed under: uncultured bacterium
Lineage: Bacteria
Description: partial 16S ribosomal RNA
Rfam family: Bacterial small subunit ribosomal RNA
Source: RNAcentral
AGUGAACGCUGGCGGUAGGCCUAACACAUGCAAGUCGAACGGCAGCACAGUAAGAUCUUUCUCUUACGGGUGGCGAGUGGCGGACGGGUGAGGAAUACAUCGGAAUCUACUUUUUCGUGGGGGAUAACGUAGGGAAACUUACGCUAAUACCGCAUACGACCUACGGGUGAAAGCAAGGGAUCUUCGGACCUUGCGCGAUUGAAUGAGCCGAUGUCGGAUUAGCUAGUUGGCGGGGUAAAGGCCCACCAAGGCGACGAUCCGUAGCUGGGCUGAGAGGAUGACCGGCCACACUGGAACUGAGACACGGUCCAGACUCCUACGGGAGGCAGCAGUGGGGAAUAUUCGACAAUGGGCGCAAGCCUGAUCCAGCCAUACCGCGUGGGUGAAGAAGGCCUUCGGGUUGUAAAGCCCUUUUGUUGGGAAAGAAAAGCAGCAGGUUAAUACCCCGCUGUUCUGACGGUACCCAAAGAAUAAGCACCGGCUAACUUCGUG